UCGGCGAGUAGAAGCGGUUAGGGCCCACCGGGCCCGGGACAUUGCUCGGCAU
Molecule: non-coding RNA, 52 nt
Filed under: unclassified sequences
Description: Xanthine-I sequence
Rfam family: Xanthine riboswitch aptamer (NMT1 RNA)
About the family: Later it was reported as a ncRNA that recognised Xanthine.
Source: Rfam by way of RNAcentral